This is a long non-coding RNA of Nyctereutes procyonoides (raccoon dog), 3216 nucleotides long. RefSeq lists it as uncharacterized. The record is from RefSeq and is a predicted model, not a curated record. NCBI's taxonomy places the organism in Eukaryota, Metazoa, Chordata, Mammalia, Carnivora, Canidae. The transcript has 4 exons.
CUCCUCCUCGCCGUCCUCGGAGCCCAAAUACGCGACACCUGGAGCAAUAGCAGCCGCCCGCGGCCUGGGCCUCAUUACGGCCGGCCCUUAUCGCGGCGUGCAUCACAUUAUUUCAUUUCAAAGAAUCCGCAGAGAAACCCGUCCCCGGCCGACAACAGAAAGUAAAAACACAGCUGACUCCCAUUAGGGCCCUCUCACGGGCUCCGCGUGAGGCGAUUCCCAGGUACCCACCUGGUGCCAAGGCGCUACGUGCUAAUGUCCCUGCGCAGAAAAGGCCGGCAAGCAGCAAAUUCCUUGUGAAUCCAGCAGGCAGAGAUUCCCAAGAUCUGAGGAGAGCAUGCCCUCAGGGCCCCCCAUCUCCCACUGGGCCUCCCCUUCUGUCAGGCCCCCUCUCCGGAUCUCAGAUGCCUGCUGCCCUCCUGCUACCUACCUCUCUCUACCAGGAGAGAGGUCAGACACUGAGGAAUACUGAUGCAGCGCUUACCUCAUGCCAGAUGAGGAAGCUGGACCACAGAGAAGCGAGCUGACUUGUCCAAGGUCAACAGCUAGUGAGUUGCAGUAACCCAGAAGGUUCGAUGCCUGACUCCACACCGUUGAUCACUGUACAAUCUGAACCUCACAGGGAGGAGGCAGGGACAGGGGGCAGCUAACAGGACACAACUGAGAGCACUCAGAUUUCUGCAGAAGCCUACGGAGCUGCUCUUUACACAUGGAUUUGAUCCUCCCAACACUGUUGUGAGGCAGGUUUGGGGGCCUCAUUUUACAGCUGAGGGAACUGAACCCCAGAGGAGAAAGGCCUCUGCAUCUCAGCAAGUUUCUCCAGCAAGUCCGUACAGAGCUGAGGUUAGAACCGAGGCCUGAGUACCGGUGGGCUUCCACCUACCUGACCACCCACCACCACCAAAGAGCGUUUUCAGAAGGCCAGAAGGACUCACGUGCCUAAAGGACAAAGCUCGGGCACUAACGCAUGAAUGAGAAGCAUGUUCUUUUUUUUUUUUUUUUUUUUUUUUACAUCAGACUUUCUAACAUCCCUAAAAUCUCCUCCUGCCCCCACUGAUCCUGUGUCCCCAAAAACAUCUCACUCAUUCAGCAAAGUUGAACCGAGCUCCUACUCUGCCCUGUGGGGUCCCGGGGCAACAAAUGUGACCUGCUCCUGCUCCCCAGCCUGGAAGAGCUCGCAACCAGGCAGGGAAAGCGAAUGCUGCACCAGUAAUAGGAGGGAAGGUAAAGCUUGCUGGAGAUGCCUGUUAACACAGAGAAUCAGGUCUGCCCAAAGGUCUCCGCGAACGUGAUGUUGGCGCAGAGCCUCACAGGGCCAGUAUGAGGAUUUAUCUCGGAGGCAGAAGCACCAAGAAACCCACCUAUGGAAUAUGGAGCUCCUUCAAGGACCUGCUAAUGCUUCUAGGGCCCACUGAGAAGGAUCCAUGUUACCUAGAGCUGAGUCCUAGAAGAGCACUGGAGAUUUUGUUAAAUUAUUGAAAUCAGUGGGAAGGCAGAGGACUCCGGCAUUCCUUAAUAAUUAUUUUUCUUUUAAAUCUUGCUCCCAAUAGAAUUUAUCCAAGUUAUUCAUACUGUCUUAAAACAGAAAGGUCCAGGGGCAGGUGGGUGGCUAAGUGGUUAAGGGUCUGCCUUUGGCUCAGAUCAUGAUCCCCGGGGUCCUGGGAUCAAGUCCUGUAUCAGGCUCCCUACAUGGAGCCUGCUUCUCCCUCUGCCUGUGUCUCUGCCUCUCUCAUGAAUAAAAAAAUAAUAAUAAUAAAAAGGUCUAGACCUCCAUUUUCAUCAGGUGACAUUACUCCUAUUUUAUAGAUGUUGCCCUAAAAACCUGACCUCAGACAGGAAAAAAAAAAUGAUCUUCAUUUAUUGAGAACUUAACAUGUGCCAGGUACUGUACUAAGCAAUUAUAUACAUUUCUCUCAUUUGGUCCUCAAAAAUAUUCUGUGAAAUAUUUUCCUAAAAUUUUCUAACUUCUUUCACAUUUCAUAUCUUUGGACAUGCUCUUGUGCCCUAUGAGUAUUCCUUGUUCUCUGCCCGUUGUACUCGUUAGUGUUCAGACUAAGAGGCUUCAGAUAAGAAAGCCAACAACACAGUGGUUCAAAGAGGGUAGCAGUUUAUGUCUCUCUCAGGUGAUGGUUUGGACACAGGCAUGUGAUCCAAGGUGAAUGGGAUAGCUAUGCUCCCCCAGGUCAUCCAGGGACCCAGGUUCCUUUUUUUAAUUUUAUUCGGUGACCUACUUCACAAAAAUCUUAAUUAUUUUUUAUUUAAAUUCUAUUAAUCAACAUGUAGUGUAUUACUAGUUUCAGAGGUAGAGUUCAGUGAUUCAUCAGUUGCACACGACGUCUUAAUGGAGUUAUAAUUGACAUAUAACAUUAGUUUCAGGUGUGCAACGUAAGGAUUCACCAUUUAUAUAUUGCAAAAUGAUCACUACAAUAAAUAUAGUUAACAUCCAUAGUUACAAAAAUUUUUUUCCUUGUGAUAAGAACUUUUAAGAUCGACUCUCUUAGCAACUUUCAAAUAUGCAAUAUGCUAUUAUUAACAAUAGCCACCAUGCUGUACCUUAUAUCACUGUGAUUCAUUUAUUUUAUAAUCAGAAGUUCGUACCUCCUAACUUAAGACAAAAAAGCUUUCAGCUUUUCACCACUGAAUAUCAUGUUAGCUAUGAGCUUCUCAUACAUGGCCUUUAUCAUGUUGAGAUGUUUCCUGUAUAUCCCCUUUGUUGAGAUUACUUAUCAUAAACGGAUGUUGAAUUUUGUCAGAUACUUUUUCUGCUCUGCUGAGAUGAUGAUAGGAUUUUUAUCACUCAUUUUGUUAACGUGGUGUGUCACAUUGAUUUGUGGAUGUUGAACCAUCCUUGCAUCUCUAGAAUAAAUCCCACCUGAGCAUAGUAUAUGAUCCUUUUAAUAUCUUGAAUUUGGUUUGCAAAUAUGUUGUUGAGCAUUUUUGCACCUACAUUCGUCAGGGAUAUUGGCCUAUAAUUUUCUUUCCUUGGGGGCAUCCUUCUGGUUUUGGUAUCAGGAUAAUACUGGACUUGUAAAAUGAGUUUAGAAGCAUUCCCUCCUUCAUAGUUUUUAGAAGAGUUUAAAAAUGACUGGUUCUUGGGAUGCCUGGGUGGCUCAGCAGUUAAGCAUCUGCCUUCAGCUCAGGUCGUGAUCCCGGGGUUCUGGGAUCGAGUCCCACAUUGGGCUCCCUGCGUGGAGCCUGCUUCUCCCUCUGCCUGUG